AGGGGCCACACUUCUUUGAUCAUCUAAAAAAUUGAAGAUCUACUCUGAGGUUGAUUUAAGCAGAUAGAACCUUCACUGUAAUAACAUCAGGGCAGGAGGUCUCGUCUGCUCGCUUUCAAAAGGAUAUCCAUUUCUGAUGAAUUGUUGAACUAGGAAUCUUAGAUCACCGGUGAUGAGAAUACCGCUGCCUAAAAGAUAAGG
Molecule: long non-coding RNA, 201 nt
Organism: Podarcis raffonei (Aeolian wall lizard)
Lineage: Eukaryota; Metazoa; Chordata; Lepidosauria; Squamata; Lacertidae
Exons: 3
Source: RefSeq, a predicted model, not a curated record